UACGAAGGGUGCAAGCGUUACUCGGAAUUACUGGGCGUAAAGCGUGCGUAGGUGGUUUGUUAAGUCUGAUGUGAAAGCCCUGGGCUCAACCUGGGAAUUGCAUUGGAUACUGGCAGGCUAGAGUGCGGUAGAGGUAGUGGAAUUCCGGUGUAGCAGUGAAAUGCGUAGAGAUCGGAGGAACAUCUGUGGCGAAGGCGACUACCUGGACCAGCACUGACACUGAGGCACGAA
This 231-nucleotide ribosomal RNA is filed under the name uncultured bacterium. Its description in RNAcentral is "partial 16S ribosomal RNA". It matches the Rfam family "Bacterial small subunit ribosomal RNA", at positions 524 to 757 of the family's 1533-position model. The record is from RNAcentral.